UACGUAGGGACCAAGCGUUGUCCGGAAUCAUUGGGCGUAAAGAGCGUGUAGGCGGCUUGUUAAGUCUUGUGUGAAAUCUCGGGGCUCAACCCCGAGCGGUCAUGAGAAACUGGCAGGCUAGAGUGCGGGAGAGGAGAGUGGAAUUCCUGGUGUAGCGGUGAAAUGCGCAGAUAUCAGGAAGAACACCCGUGGCGAAGGCGGCUCUCUGGAACGCAACUGACGCUGAGACG
RNAcentral lists this ribosomal RNA (230 nucleotides) under uncultured bacterium. RNAcentral describes it as "partial 16S ribosomal RNA". It matches the Rfam family "Bacterial small subunit ribosomal RNA", at positions 524 to 753 of the family's 1533-position model. The record is from RNAcentral.